RNAcentral lists this ribosomal RNA (258 nucleotides) under uncultured bacterium. RNAcentral's name for it is "partial 16S ribosomal RNA". It matches the Rfam family "Bacterial small subunit ribosomal RNA", at positions 526 to 779 of the family's 1533-position model. The record is from RNAcentral.
CGUAGGGGCGUAGCGUUGUCCGGAAUCACUGGGCGUAAAGGGUUACGGCAGGCGGAAUAAACAAGUCAGAUGUGAAAGGACAUGGGCUCAACCCAUGUAAGCAUUUGAAACUGUAAUUCUUGAGAAGUGGAGAGGUAAGUGGAAUUCCUAGUGUAGCGGUGAAAUGCGUAGAUAUUAGGAGGAAUACCUGUGGCGAAGGCGACUUACUGGACACAAAUCUGACGCUGAGGAACGAAAGCGUGGGUAGCAAACAGGAUU